CUCAGUUUUUCCUGCAGCAGCUUCUGUGUUGUGGUAUUUAUACUUGUUUUGAUAGCGGUACCUGUGCUGUGCUUUUAAGUACGAUCUCUGCUACAUGAGUAGUAAUUAUUCUGUGGUUAUGAUACAUGCUCAUAUGUGGUUAGUGUUUGCUUCUCUGAUGGACGAUCCAUUCAUAAUGGCGACUCUCCCUGGGUAUUCAAAGACACACUAGAUCUGCCUCGAUCUAUUUCCAUUAAGCAAAAUACGGUUGUGAGAAGUCGGAGCUCUGAAGCCCUGGAGUCGGAGCUCUGAAGCCCUGGAGUCGGAGCUCUGAAGCCCUGGAGUCGGAGCUCUGAAGCCCUGGAGUCGGAGCUCUGAAGCCUGGAGUCGGAGCUCUGAAGCCCUGGAGUCGGAGCUCUGAAGCCCUGGAGUCGGAGCUCUGAAGCCCUGGAGUCGGAGCUCUGAAGCCCUGGAGUCGGAGCUCUGAAGCCCUGGAGUCGGAGCUCUGAAGCCCUGGAGUCGGAGCUCUGAAGCCCUGGAGUCGGAGCUCUGAAGCCCUGGAGUCAGAGCUCUGAAACUUAAAGAACUUAACGCACUUUACAAAAAUGAAUUCCUUAAUCUCAAGUAAUUUCACUACUCUUCAACCGAGCACGAUAGUGAAAGCAGUCCCUGGCACCUUCUGUUCCUCUGGGCCCAUUACCAACUCUACUCUGCCCUGUACUUGUGUUAACUGUUUCCUUGGUUAUAAAGACUUUUCAGUCCAUUACUCGGGACAGUAUGAAGGUUUGGAAUAUACUGUCAAGAUCGCUGCUUUUUGAGAAAACUGGCCUUUUGCCCUCAUUGUGGCAACGAGUGUACACUUGACCUACAAAGGAAGGUGUUUAGGUAACAUUUAAGAAUAGACUAACUGCUUACUGGGGUGUUAAGACAAGGAAGAUAAGAUAUUCAAGCACAUCUUGUUCAUUGCUUGGAUUUGGCCCCACAGUAGCAUGAGGUGAGAACAUAAGCUAAAAAACUGCUUACUGGAGCCCUUAAGAUAAGGCAAACUACUUUAGUUACUAGAACUGUUCGUUGCUGCAUGAUAACUAAGCCUGAUGUUACUGGUUCACUUCUCCCUACCACAAUUUGUCCUACAUGUAUGGUUCGACGGUGUAAUUGGUUUUAAACUCCAAUAAACCGUAAUGUUGCACAGUCUGAAUUUUCGUGCCUUCACCAAUAUCAGUAACUGCAACUGGUAAGUUUUGUUACCAUAAAUUUCUAAUUAAUUUUUAACAAGGUUUUGUUAAAAUCCCUGGUAUUUUAAAUUCAGAGACUAAUAUAACGUGUUCCACUUUAACCUAACCUGUGAAACUUGUAA
Long non-coding RNA from Macrobrachium nipponense, 1336 nucleotides. RefSeq lists it as uncharacterized. The transcript is spliced from 4 exons. Lineage: Eukaryota; Metazoa; Arthropoda; Malacostraca; Decapoda; Palaemonidae. The record is from RefSeq and is a predicted model, not a curated record.